Molecule: ribosomal RNA, 1335 nt
Filed under: Teinopalpus imperialis
Lineage: Eukaryota; Metazoa; Arthropoda; Insecta; Lepidoptera; Papilionidae
Description: 16S ribosomal RNA
Source: RNAcentral
AUUUAUUCAUAAAUUAAUAAAAUUCAUAAUAAUAAAAUUAUUUCUAAUAUUUGAUCCUUUCGUACUAAAAUAUUAAUUAUUAUCUAAAGAUAGAAACCAACCUGGCUCACACCGGUUUGAACUCAGAUCAUGUAAGAUUUUAAUGAUCGAACAGAUCAAAAAUUUUAAACUUUUGCAUUUAAAUUUUAUCUUAAUCCAACAUCGAGGUCGCAAACUUUUUUUCUUAUUUGAACUAAAAAAAAAAAUUACGCUGUUAUCCCUAAGGUAAUUUUUUCUUAUAAUCAUUAUUUAUGGAUCAUUUAAUCAUAUAUUAAUGUUAACAUCAAAAAAAAAGUUUUUUAAAUUUUUCUAUCACCCCAACAAAAUAAUUCCCUUUAUUUUAAUAAAAAAAAACAUAAAAUAUUAAAAUUAAAUUAAAUUAUAAAACUCUAUAGGGUCUUCUCGUCUUUUAAAAAUAUUUUAGCUUUUUAACUAAAAAAUUAAUUUUUAAUAUUUAAAUAAAGACAGCUUAUAUUUCAUCCAAUCUUUCAUACAAGUCACCAAUUAAGAGACUAUUGAUUAUGCUACCUUUGUACAGUCAAAAUACUGCAGCCCUUUAAUUUUAUCAGUGGGCAGAUUAGACUUUAUAUUAUUUUCAAAAAGACAUGUUUUUGAUAAACAAGUGAAUAUAAAUUUUUGCCGAAUUCCUUUUUUUAAAUUUUCAUUUUUUUUUAUGAAAACUUUUCUUAAAUAUACUAAUUUUAUCAUUAUAACUAAUUCUAUAUUAUUUAAAAAUAUUUUUUCAUAAAAAAUUAAAUAUUAAAUUAAAUUUUAACUUUAAAUUAAAUUAUUUAUAAAAAAUUAUAAUUUAUUAACAAUAUAAAUUCUAAAAUUUUUAAUUAAAUUGAAAUAAUAUUAUAAAAAUUUAUUUUAAAGCUUAUCCCUUAAAAUAUUAAACAUUAAUUAACAAAAUUUUCCCUAAUAAAAAUUUUUAACUUUAAUAUUCAAAAUUAAAUUUUUUUCUGAAAAAACUAGAUAUAUUUAAAAACGAUUAACAUUUCAUUUCCAAUUAAUUAUUUAAAAUAAUUAUGCUACAUUAACUUUUUUAACUAAUUAACUCUUUCAAAUUCGAGAAAUUUUUUUCAAAAAAUUUUUUAUUAAUAAACUCUGAUACACAAGAUACAAUAAAUUAAAUUUACUAUUAAAUAAAUUUAUUUUCAAAUAUUUCAUAAUUCUUAUACAAUACUAAUUCACUAUAAAUAUUAUAAUUUUUUCUAUAAAAAAUACUUUAACCCCCAUUAAAUAUUUUCUCUUUAAAAAUUCUUCUAUUAAAUCUAAAUUAUUAAUUUUUCCCCC